CAGUCGCCGCGGUAAUACGGAGGGAGCUAGCGUUGUUCGGAAUUACUGGGCGUAAAGCGCACGUAGGCGGUUAUUCAAGUCAGAGGUGAAAGCCCGGGGCUCAACCCCGGAACUGCCUUUGAAACUAGAUGACUAGAAUCUUGGAGAGGUCAGUGGAAUUCCGAGUGUAGAGGUGAAAUUCGUAGAUAUUCGGAGGAACACCAGUGGCGAAGGCGACUGACUGGACAAGUAUUGACGCUGAGGUGCGAAAGCGUGGGGAGCAAACAGGAUUAGAUACCCCGGUAGUCCCUGUCUCUUAUAC
RNAcentral lists this ribosomal RNA (301 nucleotides) under uncultured bacterium. RNAcentral describes it as "partial 16S ribosomal RNA". It matches the Rfam family "Bacterial small subunit ribosomal RNA", at positions 509 to 807 of the family's 1533-position model. The record is from RNAcentral.